GACGAACGCUGGCGGCGUGCCUAAUACAUGCAAGUUGAGCGCUGAAGGUUGGUACUUGUACCAACUGGAUGAGCAGCGAACGGGUGAGUAACGCGUGGGGAAUCUGCCUUUGAGCGGGGGACAACAUUUGGAAACGAAUGCUAAUACCGCAUAAAAACUUUAAACACAAGUUUUAAGUUUGAAAGAUGCAAUUGCAUCACUCAAAGAUGAUCCCGCGUUGUAUUAGCUAGUUGGUGAGGUAAAGGCUCACCAAGGCGAUGAUACAUAGCCGACCUGAGAGGGUGAUCGGCCACAUUGGGACUGAGACACGGCUCAAACUCCUACGGGAGGCAGCAGUAGGGAAUCUUCGGCAAUGGACGAAAGUCUGACCAAGCAACGCCGCGUGAGUGAAGAAGGUUUUCGGAUCGUAAAACUCUGUUGGUAGAGAAGAACGUUGGUGAGAGUGGAAAGCUCAUCAAGUGACGGUAACUACCCAGAAAGGGACGGCUAACUACGUG
Molecule: ribosomal RNA, 497 nt
Filed under: uncultured bacterium
Lineage: Bacteria
Description: partial 16S ribosomal RNA
Rfam family: Bacterial small subunit ribosomal RNA
Source: RNAcentral